AGUGAACGCUGGCGGUAGGCCUAACACAUGCAAGUCGAACGGCAGCACAGUAAGAGCUUGCUCUUACGGGUGGCGAGUGGCGGACGGGUGAGGAAUACAUCGGAAUCUACUUUUUCGUGGGGGAUAACGUAGGGAAACUUACGCUAAUACCGCAUACGACCUACGGGUGAAAGCAGGAGAUCUUCGGACCUUGCGCGAUUGAAUGAGCCGAUGUCGGAUUAGCUAGUUGGCGGGGUAAAGGCCCACCAAGGCAACGAUACGUAGCUGGUCUGAGAGGAUGAUCAGCCACACUGGAACUGAGACACGGUCCAGACUCCUACGGGAGGCAGCAGUGGGGAAUAUUGGACAAUGGGCGAAAGCCUGAUCCAGCCAUACCGCGUGGGUGAAGAAGGCCUUCGGGUUGUAAAGCCCUUUUGUUGGGAAAGAAAAGCAGCAGGUUAAUACCCCGCUGUUCUGACGGUACCCAAAGAAUAAGCACCGGCUAACUUCGUG
Molecule: ribosomal RNA, 492 nt
Filed under: uncultured bacterium
Lineage: Bacteria
Description: partial 16S ribosomal RNA
Rfam family: Bacterial small subunit ribosomal RNA
Source: RNAcentral